RNAcentral lists this ribosomal RNA (253 nucleotides) under uncultured bacterium. Its description in RNAcentral is "partial 16S ribosomal RNA". It matches the Rfam family "Bacterial small subunit ribosomal RNA", at positions 524 to 776 of the family's 1533-position model. The record is from RNAcentral.
UACGAAGGGGGCUAGCGUUGCUCGGAAUCACUGGGCGUAAAGGGUGCGUAGGCGGGUCUUUAAGUCAGGGGUGAAAUCCCAAGGCUCAACCUUGGAACUGCCUUUGAUACUGGGGAUCUCGAGUCCGGAAGAGGUGAGUGGAACUGCGAGUGUAGAGGUGAAAUUCGUAGAUAUUCGCAAGAACACCAGUGGCGAAGGCGGCUCACUGGUCCGGUACUGACGCUGAGGUGCGAAAGCGUGGGGAGCAAACAGG